UCUAGUGAUGAUGGCAAAGAGGUCACACCCGUUCCCAUGUCGAACACGGAAGUUAAGCUCUUUAGCGCCGAUGGUAGUUGGGGGUUUCCCCCUGUGAGAGUAGGACGUUGCUAGGC
RNAcentral lists this ribosomal RNA (116 nucleotides) under Viridibacillus arenosi. The record is from RNAcentral. Lineage: Bacteria; Bacillati; Bacillota; Bacilli; Caryophanales; Caryophanaceae. RNAcentral also lists the same sequence under 2 other names.